UGCCAGCAGCCGCGGUAAUACAGAGGGUGCGAGCGUUAAUCGGAAUUACUGGGCGUAAAGGGUGCGUAGGUGGCUAGGUAAGUUAGAUGUGAAAUUCCUGGGCUCAACCUGGGAAUGCCGUUUGAUACUGCUUGGCUAGAGUUCUGUAGAGGGAAGUGGAAUUUCCGGUGUAGCGGUGAAAUGCGUAGAUAUCGGAAGGAACACCAGUGGCGAAGGCGACUUCCUGGACAGAAACUGACACUGAGGCACGAAAGCGUGGGUAGCGAACAGGAUUAGAUA
RNAcentral lists this ribosomal RNA (279 nucleotides) under uncultured bacterium. Its description in RNAcentral is "partial 16S ribosomal RNA". It matches the Rfam family "Bacterial small subunit ribosomal RNA", at positions 506 to 784 of the family's 1533-position model. The record is from RNAcentral.